RNAcentral lists this transfer RNA (66 nucleotides) under marine eukaryotic metagenome. It matches the Rfam family "tRNA". Rfam says of the family: Transfer RNA (tRNA) molecules are approximately 80 nucleotides in length. The record is from RNAcentral.
ACUUUAGCUCAGUAGGUAGAGCAACUGACUUGUAAUCAGUAGGUCACCAGUUCGAUUCCGGUAAGU